RNAcentral lists this ribosomal RNA (171 nucleotides) under Candidatus Saccharimonadota bacterium. RNAcentral's name for it is "partial 16S ribosomal RNA". It matches the Rfam family "Bacterial small subunit ribosomal RNA", at positions 1 to 166 of the family's 1533-position model. Lineage: Bacteria; Candidatus Saccharimonadota. The record is from RNAcentral.
UUUUUGAAGAGUUUGAUCCUGGCUCAGGAUGAACGCUGGCGGUGUGCUUUAGGCAUGCAAGUCGAACGGUAACAGGUCCGCCUUUGGCGGACGCUGACGAGUGGCAAACGGGUGAGUAACACGUAGGAAUCUACCUCGUAGCGGGGAAUAGCUCAUCGAAAGGUGAGAUAA